AAUCUGAAUCCUUAAAAGCAUUGAAAUUGAAAACCUUGAAUAUUACCCGACAAAAAAAGCGAUUUUGUAAUGUAAAUUUACAAAAUAAAAAAAAAUUAAACCAUUAGAAACACUGAAAUCGAAUCACACUAAUAUUACAUGACACAGAACAGAAUUUGCUAAUGUAAAAUUCCGUCAUUUAUGAUGCUUCUUUUUAUUUACAUCAUAUAUGAUGUAGUUUUACAGAUAUUUUUUAUAUACACAAAAAAUAUGAAUCCUUAGUAGCACUGAAAAAGGAACGCCAUAUUAUUACAUGACACAGAACACGAUUUUGUCAUGUAAAUUUUAUCAAUUUAUGACACAGAACGCGUUUAUGCAAUGUAAAUGUAUAAAUGCAUUUAAAUUUAAAUUUCAUGUAAAUAUUUUAAUUGAAAAAGCAAAUCGCUCAAUUCAGUUGGUUCACAUCGCGACUUCAAUAAGACCUUCAAGUUUUCAGAGUUCAGAAAUAAUUAAAAUACGAAGAAUAAAAUUUUUCAAGGUGAUCCAGUAAAUUCUAUGCUAGGAAUUACUACAGUUAUUAUAAGGAGUGAAAUAUUCCAGUGCACUCGAAAUAUUUCAGACUGUCAUUCUCUCUACUUCUUUUUUCUGUCGUUUUUUUCAGUUCUGUUUACUUUUUUGGUCGAAGCUAAAAAUUCAUUGCUUUAAUCCAAAGCCAAAAUAAAUUUAUUGUAGGAAAGAACGACGAAUGAGAUUAAAAAACUAGUCGCUGCCCGACAGAUAGUGGCUCCCUAAGGUUCUUGAACCGCAGCAGUUUUUAGCGAUCCAGUCGAUGGUCACCUGAUAAAAAUGAGUAUUCCACAAAAAACGGAGGCGGACCGGAUUCAAACGACUAGCAGUUGGCGGAGGAGUGUUUCCGAAAAGUCUACGUGUGCAAUAAGAAACUCUCGGCAUGGAGAUUCUAGUGGAAGACACCAUGCACUCAUCCUUCACAAAAUGGCUUGGGUGCUAGAUGGUAAGACAUUUAUUUUCUUUAUUUGGUAUUUUUGGAGCUUCUUUCAAUGAUCUCUACUGAGAAACAGAUAUGAUUUAAUAGAAUAUUUGAGAAAGUUUCCUGAUUUCUGUAAGGCAAUCAUUAAUAAGAAAUUAAUCCUAUUGCAGUAUUCACUCAAUUGCACUUAUUCCGGUGUCUGGAGAGCUGCUGUCGGAGAUGUUGUUCGCGUUGGCAACCACCAUAGAGACCUGUGCCAUCAAUUAAAAACGGCUCUAAUGAAAGAACCAUUAUGGGCAACUUUAAAAAAGGGUAAGUUCAAAAUCUCCCUACAGUUUGUCGUUGCGUUGCGGUUUAAAUGAGAUGAAAAAUAUGUACAGCUCCCUGGUAUUCAAUACACAUUUCGGAUACUACUGGUGUUAACGUGAGUUUUUUGCCAAACGUUAUGUCCAAUAAUUUACGUUUCACUUUAAACUUUCAGGAAAAUUGAGCCGGACAAUGAAAUCGCAGUCGAGAAAAAAAUCUAUGCUGGUUAGCUGCAGUAAACUGCAAUACAACUUUGUCCCAUCGUAGAUAUACUUCAAAUGAAUAAUUAAGAUUUUUGUUCACGCCAGCAAAUGUUUCGUCUCCCGGAAGCGGAACGUCUUUGAUUGUCGAACAAAACCGCCGAGGAGCCGUAAGGCUGCGCUUUUCAAUAACAAGGAAAAGUACAUCGAGGAAUCCGUCCCUUGAAAACAAGUUGAUGAAUUCCAUCUCGUAUGUAACCAAAAGUAAACAAAAUGUAGA
Long non-coding RNA from Uranotaenia lowii, 1753 nucleotides. RefSeq lists it as uncharacterized. Lineage: Eukaryota; Metazoa; Arthropoda; Insecta; Diptera; Culicidae. The record is from RefSeq and is a predicted model, not a curated record. The transcript is spliced from 3 exons.